This is a long non-coding RNA of Vigna unguiculata (cowpea), 1469 nucleotides long. RefSeq lists it as uncharacterized. The record is from RefSeq and is a predicted model, not a curated record. NCBI's taxonomy places the organism in Eukaryota, Viridiplantae, Streptophyta, Magnoliopsida, Fabales, Fabaceae.
AAUGGUUCUCACAUGAACACUAAAAUCUGCUGCGCAGGUUUCUCACAGUAACCCCAACCCUCCUUCUUCUGCUAUACCCACACUUUUUUUUUUCUUCUUUUCUUUCUCUUAAGAGGUAUUGUUUUGGUGGUGCAGUUCUUCUAUAAAGUUGCUCUAACCUAAAAGUCACUUGAGUUUGGUGGAGUUAAAGCUAUUUCAGAUCAGAGGAGCAUUUUCAGUAUUCUGACUUGCUUUCCUUUGUGAAGGUACUGGUACUGUGAAGGAAUGAUUCACUUCAUCUCAGUUUAUUUUCACUGGAAUGAAAUUCUAUCACGCCUCCUGUUGGUUCAAAGAACUUCUCUGCAGAGCACUCGUUUCUUAUAUCGUAAUGUCAAGGAAUAUGGUUUCGUCCAAACAUGUAGGGAAUGCGGUGCAACUCUUAGAGUUUUGGGGAGUGUUUGGAAAGGGCUAAAAGACUUAAAAGCCACAAGGUGCCUGGAAUUCAAGGGUUACUGUGCUCGUAUCACCAGCCUUCUUUCCUUUUUGCUGCUCCCUUCAACUCAGCAUUCAACGAGGGAAUUCCUUUCUCCUACUCCAAGUGGACGCGAGAUUAUCUUCUACUCAGAAUAAGAACUCCGAGGAUGCUGCGGCCAGUUCUCCAAAGGGAACUGGAAAAUCUUGUCAUCAAUGCCGGCAAAAAAAGGAAAAUUUUACUGCAACAUGCAAGAACCUCAAGAAUGGAAAAUAUUGUCCAAUUAAGUUCUGCAACAAGUGCCUCUUGAUCAGGAAACUCAGGAGAUAUAUUUAACAUAUGCAAAAGGAGUGAAAGAAGCAAAACUUAAGAUUGCUGCAACUAAGAAAAAGUGUGAAGUUGCGGAAUUAGAAGGCAAAAGUUGUUCCUUCAACUGUGUCCCCUUUACAAUGGAGGACCAUGAUGCUCUUAUAAAAUGAAGAACUGAGGUUGAUGAAGCACACGCUGACACGGUCAUGUUAAAGAGGACAAAUAAAAAAGAGAAAUUAGGAUGCGAUGCCACGAGAAUCAAUCCAGAGUUUGUGGACAAUAAUGGGAUGAUAUUUUAGAACUUGCAACAUGACAAUGAUGAACCUGUUAUUCUGUUGUAAGUCCUGCAGAGAAGGAUGAGGUUGAUAAAUAUAUUUCUUCAAGGACUACAAGACUUAAUAGCCGCAAGGAUUCUCACCUGCUUGUGAGCGAAUCAAGUUCGCAGGACUUUUGAGUGAAUAAUGUUAUUAUUGUUAAGAGGAUAUAUAUUGGCCAAAAUACUUAUUUCAUACGGCUCUUCUUUCAGUGAUGGAGUAUUGGUUUUGGUAGAAAUCUUUCUCUGGUGAUGGCCCUUUUAGUGGAACACAAAAUGAAAUGUCUUUUUUUUAUUCUGUAUAUUUCCAAUUUAAUAAAGAAUUUUAGAUCUUUUAUCUUGAUCGAUUAUUAGUAAUGUAGACUUUUAUUUAAUAAGAAUUUUAUGAUUACUUUU